GUUUAAUUUGACAUGUAUAACCAGGUCAGAAUGAACAAUGUGUUCUUUUACUGAGUAGUAGUUUUCAAAAGUUUGGAAAACACUGCUUAAAAGGACAUUGUACAUGGAUGUAAUAUUACAAAGGCUUUUUUUUAAUUGCAAUAAUUUUAUAGCUCUUUCAUUUAACAAAACCGAAUCUAUGCCUACCACAUGUUUGGCACUCAAAAUAGAACAGUACAUAAGAUGGAAAAGGUCUCUUCUUUCCUGGGAUGAAUAUUUAGAGAGGAAUUAUGUGUUAGUGAAUCAUAUAAUUAACUCAUUGUCUUCACAAGUGGCACAAAGAAAACAAAUCCAAGAAUUAUGAGAGUGAAUGAUAUGAGGAUCUGACAGAUUUGGAGUAUGUCAGGAAAUUCUUAGGUAAGUGAUCUUUCAGCUGAGAUCUGAAAGAUGAGUCAGUGUGAACCAAGCUUAGCCUCGGAAACUUUAAACAUUUUACCACAACUCUUUGAUUUUUCCAAUUUAUCCAUUGGUACCUCAAAGUAUUUCAUGGUUUCACUUGGACUCUGGAAGAGCCUAUCUUGACACAGAUCACUUUCUGUGUUUAUGAUACAGUCUCAAAACUUUCUUCAUUCUUCCUUUUCCCUGACCAAUUUCUGCUUUGAAGUGCCUACUCAUGGACAAAGGACCAUAAAGUCAUUGUCAGUGACACUUCUCAGUGAGUUUCUGGAAGAGGUAAGGAAAGGCUUUGGCAUUGAUGGAAGGAAUGGCUGCUGAACCACUGGGCAUGUAAUGAACAACUGGGAACUUGUCCUGCCUUCAUCCAUUUAUGGGAAAGAAAAGGCUAUAUGAUACUCAUUUUGCUUCCCAGAAGACCCAUUCCAACUCUACCAAUUCAGAUGAUCCCUUUUCCAAGUCUGAAUGUGUGUGAAAUAUAUUAUUAAGCAAACUAGGAGCUGUCACAUUACCAAACCAGAUGCAUUCUUUGGACCAAGGAUCUCUGCAUUUUGACCAGAAAUUACACACAGAUUCUAAACUAUGAUAGUGUGGUCCUCCACUCAACUCCAGAAGAAGUGGAAAAAUAAAAUAAAGGCAAGUCUAGUAAAAUCAAUACAUACAAAGCAUGAUCACAAACUAUGGUGAAUGCUUAAAUUAAAAUUUUAAAAUAUUUAUUACAGUAAAAUUAUCACUACAGUAUCAUUAAUCUCCCUCAAAAUAGUCCCCUUCACUUUGAACUCACAUAUCCCAUGGCUCUUGCCAUUUUUCUGAAGCAUUUCUGGAAGUCUUCUUUCAUGAGAGUUGUAAGGGGGCUGCCCAAGCAUCCUGAAUUGACUCAAAAUGUUUAGCACAUUUUUUGUCAAAUAAAAACAUUAUGAUAUGUGGUCAUCUGUCCUAUACACCAGAUCUGGCACUGUGAAAUAUCUGGCUCUUCCCCAAAAUAAAAGGAUCAUGAAAAAUAAGUCUUUAGUCAUUCAGGACUUUGAGGCAAACUUCACAGAGCAACUAAAAGACAUUCAGGAAAAAGGACUUCCAGAAGUGCUUCAGAAUGUGGCAAGAAGGAUGCGAUAAGUAAGUUCCAAGGGAAGGGAGUAUUUGAGGGGGAUUAAUAGAAAUGUGUCUAUCAGCAUAAUAAUUUUUUAUUUAAACAUUCAUUGCAGUUUUGAUCACACUCCCUAAAUCAAUAAAUAACAUUCCUACUUUGCUUCUUCUCACUUUGGGGAUAUUCAAAGUUGGUAAAGAAAUUUUUUUCACUGAGUUGUUAAGCUUUCAGACAAAAAGAACUAUGGGGGAAAUUUUAAAAUUGCUUACUAUGGGGAGUGUGACACCUCUCUUCUACUUCCUACUGUCUCCUAGACACCUUAGUGAAGUCUAUGUAGCUCACUAAUACCUCUGUGUGAAUGCAUUCUUCAUGUGAAAAUGAAAAGAUUUUGAAUUUAGUGUCUCAGUCAUUGCAAAAUGAAAACAGAGACAUAAUUAGAAAAUGAAAGUGUCAAAAUGGAAAACUAUCGUAUUUUCUUCUACAGCAACAUCAAGAUAGAGAUUUCACUUGACUUUUUGUUUUACUUACAAGAAGCAGUGGUAUAAAUAGCCUAUGUCAGCUAGUUUAAGUCAAAGGUCAGUGGAUAUUUUUUGUUAAGGGUCAGACAGUAAAUCUUUUAGGUCUGCAGACCAGAUAAACUGUGUUGGAACUACUCAAGUCUGCUGUAGUAGUGAGAAAGCAGCCAUGAGCAAUGUAAAAAUAAAUGAUAGUAGCUGUGUUCCAAUAAAACAUUAUUUAUAAAAAUAGGAGGUGGAGUGGAUUUGGCCUGUGGGCUUUUAGUUUGCUAAUCCUCAUAUAAAAAUGUAAAACUUUAAUUAUCUACACCAAUGUUAUUCUUUCCAGAUUAUUGUUACUUUACAAAGCAAUUAUUGUAAUUUUUUGUGGUUUGCAAAUAUCUCAG
Molecule: long non-coding RNA, 2417 nt
Filed under: Heterocephalus glaber (naked mole-rat)
Lineage: Eukaryota; Metazoa; Chordata; Mammalia; Rodentia; Bathyergidae
Description: lncRNA (ENSHGLG00100051736.1)
Source: RNAcentral